Molecule: long non-coding RNA, 200 nt
Filed under: Elaeis guineensis (African oil palm)
Lineage: Eukaryota; Viridiplantae; Streptophyta; Magnoliopsida; Arecales; Arecaceae
Description: long non-coding RNA (EGUI_LNC020781)
Source: RNAcentral
CAUCUUUGGAAUUGGCUGGAGCAAAAGAAUUAGGUUAGAUUUAGAGCAUUUAUUAAAUUAGAUGUAUAAUCUAAAAAGUCAAUUAUUAACUAGCAUAUUGUAUUAUUCUAGGAUAUAUUUUAUACUUGAUUUAUUGAAAUUAAUAAAUAGAUAUUUUUCUUAUCCAUUCAUGGGUAAUGUGUCUGUGAAUCGUCAAGGAG